GAGGGUGUAGCUCAGUGGUAGAGCGCGUGCUUAGCAUGCACAAGGUCCUGGGUUCAAUCCCCAGUGCCUCCU
RNAcentral lists this transfer RNA (72 nucleotides) under Camelus bactrianus (Bactrian camel). It matches the Rfam family "tRNA". Rfam says of the family: Transfer RNA (tRNA) molecules are approximately 80 nucleotides in length. Their secondary structure includes four short double-helical elements and three loops (D, anti-codon, and T loops). The record is from Rfam by way of RNAcentral. Lineage: Eukaryota; Metazoa; Chordata; Mammalia; Artiodactyla; Camelidae. RNAcentral also lists the same sequence under 1 other name.